This 596-nucleotide ribosomal RNA is filed under the name uncultured archaeon. RNAcentral's name for it is "bacterial SSU rRNA". It matches the Rfam family "Archaeal small subunit ribosomal RNA", at positions 230 to 854 of the family's 1478-position model. The record is from RNAcentral.
UACUAUAGGGCGAAUUGGGCCCGACGUCGCAUGCUCCCGGCCGCCAUGGCGGCCGCGGGAAUUCGAUUACGGGGUGCAGCAGGCGCGAAAACUUGGCAAUGCGAGAAAUCGUGACCAGGGAACUCCAAGUGCAUGGGGUAAGACCCAUGCCUUUCUUGACUCUAAAUAGGUCUUGGAAUAAGGGGUGGGUAAGGACGGUGCCAGCCGCCGCGGUAAUACCGGCGCCUCAAGUGGUAGUCGCUUUUAUUGGGCCUAAAACGUCCGUAGCCGGUCUGAUACAUUCGUGGGUAAAUCAACCAGCUUAACUGGUUGAAUUCUGCGAGGACGGUCAGACUUGGGACCGGGAGAGGUGUGGGGUACGCUCAGGGUAGGGGUAAAAUCCUGUCAUCCUGAGCGGACCACCUGUUGCGAAGGCGCCACACUAGAACGGAUCCGACGGUCAGGGACGAAGCCUAGGGGCACGAACCGGGUUAGAUACCCGGGUAGUCCUAGGUGUAAACGCUGUGGACUUGAUGUUGGGGGUGCUCCGAGCACUCUCAGUGUCGAAGCGAAGGUGAUAAGUCCACUGCCUGGGAAGUACGGUCGCAAGGCUGAAA